RNAcentral lists this long non-coding RNA (239 nucleotides) under Physcomitrium patens. Its description in RNAcentral is "long non-coding RNA (PPAT_LNC010461)". The record is from RNAcentral. Lineage: Eukaryota; Viridiplantae; Streptophyta; Bryopsida; Funariales; Funariaceae.
UAAACCUCUCUUGAAUGAAUCUCAACAAUCUUAUCAUUAUCCCCUAACCCAAUAGAUGUAAUCAAUUCCAAUGAAUCUUCCAGUCCAUUUUCUUCAUAAACACCUAAAAUCCUCUCAUCAUCUUGCAAUGUACCUAACUUGCAUAAUUGUCCUUCAAUAUCAUAUAAUCUUUUUCUUUCUUUUCUUUUAAAAUCAUUAACUUUCUUAUACAUAAUAUUUCCAUUCUCCAAUAUACCAAU